This 201-nucleotide long non-coding RNA is filed under the name Durio zibethinus. RNAcentral's name for it is "long non-coding RNA (DZIB_LNC001818)". Lineage: Eukaryota; Viridiplantae; Streptophyta; Magnoliopsida; Malvales; Malvaceae. The record is from RNAcentral.
UAAAAUUCAAAACCCCUAAAAUCCAAACCCAAAAAUCCAAAUCCCUAAAAUCCAAAAUCCAUAAAAUUCAAACCCUUAAAUCAAAACCCCAAACCACAAAACCCAAAUCCUAAAAUCUCCAAACUCUAAAAUCAAAACCAUAAACCUUCCAUAUCCUAAAAUUUAAGCUUUAAAACCCUAUAAACCUUAAACCAAACCUUC